This 357-nucleotide ribosomal RNA is filed under the name uncultured Anaerolineaceae bacterium. RNAcentral's name for it is "bacterial SSU rRNA". It matches the Rfam family "Bacterial small subunit ribosomal RNA", at positions 1004 to 1382 of the family's 1533-position model. Lineage: Bacteria; Bacillati; Chloroflexota; Anaerolineae; Anaerolineales; Anaerolineaceae. The record is from RNAcentral.
AAAGGACGACCUCGGGAGCUUGCACAGGUGCUGCAUGGCUGUCGUCAGCUCGUGUCGUGAGAUGUUCGGUUAAGUCCGCUAACGAGCGCAACCCUCACUGUGUGUUAUAUGUGUCACACGGGACUGCCGGUUUUAAGCCGGAGGAAGGUGGGAUGACGUCAAGUCAGCAUGGCCUUUAUAUCCUGGGCUACACACACGCUACAAUGGUCGGUACAAUAGGUUGCCAAGCCGCGAGGCGGAGCCAAUCCAAAAAAGCCGGCCUCAGUUCAGAUUGUAGGCUGCAACUCGCCUGCAUGAAGAUGGAGUUGCUAGUAACCGCAGGUCAGCAAUACUGCGGUGAAUACGUUCCCGGGUCUU